Molecule: ribosomal RNA, 2733 nt
Filed under: Catenulispora pinistramenti
Lineage: Bacteria; Bacillati; Actinomycetota; Actinomycetes; Catenulisporales; Catenulisporaceae
Description: Catenulispora sp. NL8 partial 23S ribosomal RNA
Rfam family: Bacterial large subunit ribosomal RNA
Source: RNAcentral
GGCAUAGUGGGUAAAACCCCCGUAGACGAAACAUGACUGGCUCUGGAGGAGUAUCCCAAGUAGCACGGGGCCCGAGAAAUCCCGUGUGAAUCUGGCGGGACCACCCGCUAAGCCUGAAUACUCCCUGGUGACCGAUAGCGGACUAGUACCGUGAGGGAAAGGUGAAAAGUACCCCGGGAGGGGAGUGAAAGAGUACCUGAAACCGUGUGCCUACAAGCCGUGGGAGCUACGCCGUGCAGAAUUUAUUCUGUCACGGUUGUGACCGCGUGCCUUUUGAAGAAUGAGCCUGCGAGUUAGCGUUGUGUGGCGAGGUUAACCCGGGUGGGGUAGCCGUAGCGAAAGCGAGUCCGAAUAGGGCGUUUGAGUCGCACGACCUAGACCCGAAGCGUGGUGAUCUAGCCAUGGGCAGGGUGAAGCGCGGGUAAGACCGCGUGGAGGCCCGAACCCACCAGGGUUGAAAACCUGGGGGAUGACCUGUGGUUAGGGGUGAAAGGCCAAUCAAACCACGUGAUAGCUGGUUCUCCCCGAAAUGCAUUUAGGUGCAGCGUCGUGUGUUUCUUCCCGGAGGUAGAGCACUGGAUGGUCUAGGGGGCCUACAAGCUUACCGAAAUCAGCCAAACUCCGAAUGCCGGUGAAGUGAUAGCGCGGCAGUGAGACGGCGGGGGAUAAGCUUCGUCGUCGAGAGGGAAACAGCCCAGAACACCGGCUAAGGCCCCUAAGCGUGUGCUAAGUGGGAAAGGAUGUGGAGUCGCAUAGACAACCAGGAGGUUGGCUUAGAAGCAGCCACCCUUGAAAGAGUGCGUAAUAGCUCACUGGUCAAGUGAUUCCGCGCCGACAAUGUAGCGGGGCUCAAGUACACCGCCGAAGCCGUGUCAUUCAUGCUUAAGCCCGUCGUGUAGAAAGCGGCCAGGCGCAUGGAUGGGUAGGGGAGCGUCGUGCAGCCAGUGAAGUCCCGGGGUGACCCAGGGGUGGAGGCUGCACGAGUGAGAAUGCAGGCAUGAGUAGCGAAUGCGACGUGAGAAACGUCGCCGCCGGAUGACCAAGGGUUCCUGGGCCAGGCUAAUCCGCCCAGGGUGAGUCGGGACCUAAGGCGAGGCCGACAGGCGUAGUCGAUGGACAACGGGUUGAUAUUCCCGUACCCGCGAAGGUCCGCCCAAUGUUGAAUCAGGUGAUGCUAAACCCGUUAAGCCCCCGGGUUCCUUCGGGAACCUGGUGUGGUGGAGCCGGUGACCCGAACUUGUAGUAGGCAAGCGAUGGUGUGACGCAGGAAGGUAGCCCAACCCGGGCGGUGGUUGUCCCGGGGUAAGGAUGUAGGGCGGUGUGUAGGCAAAUCCGCACACCUUGAAGCCUGAGAUCUGAUGCCGAGCCCGUAGGGGUGAAGUGGGUGAUCCUAUGCUGUCGAGAAAAGCAUCUAGCGAGGACUGAGCGGCCCGUACCCCAAACCGACACAGGUGGUCAGGUAGAGAAUACCGAGGCGAUCGGGUGAACCGUGGUUAAGGAACUCGGCAAAAUACCUCCGUAACUUCGGGAGAAGGAGGGCUCCGUCUGGUGAUAGGCCUUGCGUCUUGAGCUGGGUGGAGUCGCAGAGACCAGCGAGAAGCGACUGUUUACUAAAAACACAGGUCCGUGCGAAGUCGCAAGACGAUGUAUACGGACUGACGCCUGCCCGGUGCUGGAACGUUAAGGGGACCGGUUAGACCGUAAGGUCGAAGCUGAGAACUUAAGCGCCAGUAAACGGCGGUGGUAACUAUAACCAUCCUAAGGUAGCGAAAUUCCUUGUCGGGUAAGUUCCGACCUGCACGAAUGGCGUAACGACUUCUCGACUGUCUCAACCACGGGCCCGGCGAAAUUGCACUACGAGUAAAGAUGCUCGUUUCGCGCAGCAGGACGGAAAGACCCCAGGACCUUCACUAUAGCUUGAUAUUGGUGUUCGACUCGGUUUGUGUAGGAUAGGUGGGAGGCUGUGAAGUCCGGACGCUAGUUCGGGUGGAGCCGGCGUUGAAAUACCACUCUGAUCGUGUUGGAUGUCUAACCUCGGUCCGUGAUCCGGAUCAGGGACAGUGUCUGGUGGGUAGUUUAACUGGGGCGGUUGCCUCCUAAAGAGUAACGGAGGCGCCCAAAGGUUCCCUCAGCCUGGUUGGCAAUCAGGUGGCGAGUGCAAGUGCACAAGGGGGCUUGACUGUGAGACCGACAGGUCGAGCAGGUGCGAAAGCAGGGACUAGUGAUCCGGCCAUGGCUUGUGGAAGCGUGGUCGCUCAACGGAUAAAAGGUACCCUGGGGAUAACAGGCUGAUCUUCCCCAAGAGUCCAUAUCGACGGGAUGGUUUGGCACCUCGAUGUCGGCUCGUCGCAUCCUGGGGCUGGAGUAGGUCCCAAGGGUUGGGCUGUUCGCCCAUUAAAGCGGUACGCGAGCUGGGUUUAGAACGUCGUGAGACAGUUCGGUCCCUAUCCGCUGCGCGCGCAGGAGACUUGAGAAGGGCUGUCCCUAGUACGAGAGGACCGGGAUGGACGGACCUCUGGUGUGCCAGUUGUCCCGCCAGGGGCAUGGCUGGUUGGCUACGUUCGGGAAGGAUAACCGCUGAAAGCAUCUAAGCGGGAAACCUGCUUCAAGAUGAGGUCUCCCACCCACUUGAUGGGUUAAGGCUCCCGGUAGACCACCGGGUUGAUAGGCCGGGCGUGGAAGCUCCGUGAGGGGUGUAGCGGACCGGUACUAAUAGGCCGAGGGCUUGACCAC